This 375-nucleotide ribosomal RNA is filed under the name uncultured Phaeocystis. Its description in RNAcentral is "SSU rRNA". It matches the Rfam family "Eukaryotic small subunit ribosomal RNA", at positions 597 to 976 of the family's 1831-position model. The record is from RNAcentral. Lineage: Eukaryota; Haptophyta; Phaeocystales; Phaeocystaceae.
GCGUAUAUUAAAGUUGUUGCAGUUAAAAAGCUCGUAGUAGGAUUUCGGGGCGGGCCGAGCGGUCUGCCGAUGGGUAUGCACUGUUCGGCGCGUCCUUCUUUCCGGAGACUGCGCCUACUCUUAGCUGAGCGGGCGUGGGAGACGGAUCGUUUACUUUGAAAAAAUCAGAGUGUUUCAAGCAGGCAGCUCGCUCUUGCAUGGAUUAGCAUGGGAUAAUGAAAUAGGACUCUGGUGCUAUUUUGUUGGUUUCGAACACCGGAGUAAUGAUUAACAGGGACAGUCAGGGGCACUCGUAUUCCGUCGAGAGAGGUGAAAUUCUCAGACCAAUGGAAGACGAACCACUGCGAAAGCAUUUGCCAGGGAUGUUUUCACUGA